UUUAUUUACACAUCCUUUAUAUAUAGAGAGAGAGACCAAGAAGCCGAAGGGUAGCAAGAGAAGAGAAGAGAGCGGCGAGUGCAACAGCUUUCAUUUUGUGCCAUGGCUUGGGGGUGCCACAUGAACAUGGUUCUUCUGUUAGUUAUACUGGAGAUCAUUCUGCUCUUUACGACACCAUCUGGAGGGCUGGUGGUUCCCUGUCCAUCGGGUACGAGACCAACAGACAGUAUGUGCUCUGGCCUUUCAGUCUUCUAAAUCCUACUAUAGACUAGUAGUAUCAGUUAGCUCACUGGAUAAAUGUUUGUUUCUUCUCUGGAGACACAAAGUAGUACACCAUUCUUAAUGCUUAUUUUCGUUUGGUUUAGAGGAACUUUUUAAGAAUUCUAAAGGAUAGAAAUUUUAGAAGAAAAUUCUUUGUAGGUCUUUGAUUUAUACGAAUGGUUGUUAUUCCUAUGUAUGUAGGAUGGGAACCAAUCAUUCACAUUAUAAAGUAAUAAUAAUAGCAUUAACCUAGACCCAAUGAAGAGGUUUCUAUCCUAUGAAACCAAACACAUCUUUUCUCCUAUAUGAAUUGAGAUAAUGUCAUCUCACUACCUAUGAAUUUCCUAUUCCUAUGAUAUUAUAUUCUAUGAACCAAAGGAUACCUAAGGGUUUUGAUCAUCGAAACAGUUUAGGUGUGGAUGGUAAAUAAUCCUCAGAAUUCUAUUAAAUAUUUAUGUAGGUUUAUGUUUCCAUACUUGCCCUACAUGUGUGUACAAAAUUCAAAUUUGAUUUAUAAUGAAGGUGGACAAAUCAAAUAAAAAGUGUGUGACUAUUGGUAUAUGAAAGAAAAAGAAAAAUAUAAAGUUACUAUCACAAGUUCUCCUUCGCACACACAUUAUAAGAAUACUUUUUAUAUUGAUUGGAUGAUUAAAUACAGUGGUUUGUCGUCAUGCAUCCCAAGGAUGAUGAUUCCAACCAAUGAAAUAUCUCCCCACUCAUCUUAAAUCCAUGAAACAGUAUAUAGAAUAUAUUGCUAGUUCGAUAAAAAAAUUAGUGAAGAACAAAUUAUACUAGUUGAUACCCUGCAUAUUGUUGCGGAAAUGUUUUGCAAUACUAUUCAAUGAGAUAUUUUUGUAUGGCACAUGAAUAUUUGGAGUAAUAACAUGAAAACUAAAACUAAAAGUAUAUAUGAUUUAUUGUGUUAGAUUAUUGUAUAGUUGUAUAAUAUUUAUUAAACAUAAUACAGCUUAAUAGAAUGGAAAUUCUCACGCAUAUUGGCAUGUUGACGUGGGUUUUUCCUACAUGCAUGGUUUUAUAUUAAGGUGGGACUUUUUCUAUGCAUGUUGUAUGGUGAGGCACACUUGCAUAUUGAGUGGUAGGUUAAUAUGGGCUAUCUAUUUAGAUAUAGAAAAUUAUAGUUAUUUAUCAACUUUCUAUUUAAUUAUAGCUUUCUUUUGUCUUUAGUCGUUGUGUAUUUUGUUUCGGAAGUGCAUGCUCCACUUCAAAUUUAUGCUCCCAGGAAUGUGAAUGCAAAUUUGUAACUCAUAAAUCGUUCUUGCAGGAAGGGACGGGGCCAACUGUCCCCCGUGUAACAGAAAGCCUUGUUGUUGUUGAAAGUUUAUGGGCUUCCGGGCCAUUUAAAAUUCCUGAUAAAUCACGGAGGUCCAUUAGUUGAUGCAUGGCAUGAGCAAAUUCAUUCUCUAUGAAGGGUAGUCGAGAAAAAUUAAUACAUAAGGCACUCCUCCACUGACAUAUGUUCCUCCCUGUAAUACAUGUAAUAUGAAUGCCCCUCGAUGUGAUACGAAUUUUCUUAGCAAUCUGGGAGCAUGUGUGGUAUCGUUCUAUUUUUGUUAUGCAUACAACAUUGCCCUGCAGCAACCAAGGAUUCACAUACAGUUGCCCAGUAUUUCCCCGUAUACCGAAUGUAAUUCUAUGGGCAAUCGGCAUAGGCCAUGGUUCAGAGAGUCCCGUUAAAAAACUCAGCAAACAAAAGGUACUUGGUAUAGUGUCGUCUUUGCGGAGUGUUGGACUCCAUUUUUACCACGAGGUGCUAUAUAUAUUAUUUUUAUUCUAUUUUAGUUAAGAUAACCAGGCAAUCACCAUAUCCCAUCAAUGAAAAUAUAUUUUGCACCCUCAGUUUGCGAUAACGCAAUACACUUGUGUUGAUCAAAUGGAUUUAGUAUUGGAUCAACCAGUUUGCCAAUGGAAUAAAUCAUGUGUGUAUGCAUGGGCUCACUCGUAAGUAACGAUCCAUGCAAAACGUUUGGUGUAAUGUGCACGAAAUCUGUGCACGAUCCCUCCUGCUAGCUGGACCUGGACGUCUAUUUUAUUCCAACGGGUACAAAAACCAAGGUAUAUUCGCUUACUCGAGCUUAAAUGUAGUUGAUGAGUUCGUGUGCAGGUUUUACUUUCUUCUGUUAAUCAUUAGGUUUGGGAAAGGACUAGUAAUUAUCUUAGACUUAUUACGUAAAGACCCUACAGAGUUAGCGUCGAUUGUGCAAAUGCUCCAGAAGUAAGUUCAAUCAUUAUCGUACCAUAUCAGCAACUUUCUUUCAUUUCCUGAUAUCAAGUAAUCAUUUUCUUUGUUGUACAGGGUUUGGAAAAAGUUCAUCCGCAGCACUAGGGUGAAUGGAAUAAGGAGCUGCUAUUUUCCUUCGCCAAAGUAAGUAGUACUAGCUAAUUCCGCGCAUCUCUCAUUCACCCGCAAAGGGAAAUACCAUUAUCAUGCUUGAUUAUUAUUUUAAUUGAACUCUAUUUUUGUAAAGAACUGCUCGAGGCAGGGAUCCGCAAAUAAUUUAUGUGCAUACUACGUUUGCAAGUGGAUUCACAAGACGACCUCUGAGAAGGGUAGAUCCUCAAAAGAACUUGAAGUACGUAAACAAUAUUCAUAUUUUUAUUUUAUUCCAUCAAUUAUGUUGAGUUUCAUUCAUAUAUACAUAUUGAUCCCCUUCUUUAAAUUAGAUCAUGCGGAUGCGGGAAGACCUCCUACCAACUGAUCGCCUACGAGCAAUUCAAGAGGAAUUGGCAGGAUUCUUUGUUGAGCAUGUCAUACCCACAGAAGGGGAAUAUCAUUAGGAUUUCCUUGUCGAUGUUGGUGGAUAGAUAUUAGCUAGUUAGGGAUCACAAAAGAUGUUAUAUAUUGUAUAUAUGCAUGGUCGUGUACUAUAUGUAGUAGGGUCGAGUUGUUCGACCAAGCACGAAGAAAGAGAAGUCACUUCUCUCUACAUAUGUUCAUGACGAUGUUGUGUAAUUAAUGGUCCCUUCAUUGCUAUAUGUAGUACUUAGCGUUGAGUUGAAUGAACAAUAUAAAAUUAAAUUAAAUCCUAAAUGUAAAAGAAUUGCAGGAUAAACACAGAAAGAAAAGGGUAAAC
Molecule: long non-coding RNA, 3353 nt
Filed under: Hordeum vulgare
Lineage: Eukaryota; Viridiplantae; Streptophyta; Magnoliopsida; Poales; Poaceae
Description: long non-coding RNA (HVUL_LNC002531)
Source: RNAcentral